RNAcentral lists this long non-coding RNA (2536 nucleotides) under Canis lupus familiaris (dog). RNAcentral's name for it is "lncRNA (ENSCAFG00000053659.1)". Lineage: Eukaryota; Metazoa; Chordata; Mammalia; Carnivora; Canidae. The record is from RNAcentral.
UUUUUUUUUUUUUUUUUUUUUUGUCUCCCUGCUUCCAGGAUAAUUAAAAGAGAAACCUGUAAAGGCAACAUUCCUGUGAGCGAGUUGAUGCUGCAACGUGCUGGUAAGAAAACGAAUUUAAUUUUUUUAUCUUUUCUCUUUUUUUUUUUGCCCCCCCCCCUUUUUGGCUUUUCUUUUUUUUUUUUUUUUUUUUUUAAGACACUGUAAUUAUCCUAGACUUCCCUAGUUCAGAUAAUGAAACAGAGUAAAGUGAGUGCUGAGUAAAGUUAUUUUAAUCCCUUUGAUCUAUAACUAGUCAGGAGUUCAUUAGACAGUCAACUGUGGAGAGCCUAGAUGAUUUGGGGACCUUGGACUAGAGAUGCCAACUUUAUUCUUUAAAAGCACAAAUUUUAAUUCAACCCAAUUAAAUUCAACAAGUAUUUGUUGAUCCUGUGCCUGGGACUGGUGCUGCAAUUGUUCUUGCCUGUUAUUCUGUUACGGGGAGAAACUGGAGCUAAGUGGAAUAAAUUCUCAGCAACCGUCUCUUCUUACUACCAUUAGAACUGAUCAGGUCAUUUAAGACACAUUUCAAAACACAAAACUGUUGAUUAUGAGAUAAAGUUCCUAAGGUUAAAUCUACAACUGAUGUACUUCUUUUCCUUCCAUGCGUGUAAUUUUAUGUCAAUUGGCGACUAUGGUCAGUCCAUUUUUUACUGCAUUUUAAUAUUAUAAAGAAGAAAGAAAACAAAGAAAUCUUUCUUGCACACCACACGUCUCAUUUGAAAAUAUAUCCAUGUGGCAAACUUCAUUUGAGCUUAUACAGAUUCUAGCCUCAGAGGCUGGAAUAUACAUGGAAAGGUUUAGGCUUGUCAGUGAGUCUGGUUGGAUUUGGGUUGAGAAACUUAGGAACAAAGAUUUUGUUUUCUCUUUUCUUGCCUUAAAAAAUACAUAUAAAGUAUCAAGGGAUAUGCUCUGCUUAUCCUCCAUUGUCAUUUGUUAGCUGUGUUUUUUUUUUUUUUUUUUUUUUUUUAAUAGGUAAGUAAAAAAAUAAUAGGGUGAUUGUCAGGAAGAGAAUGUAGUUAGCAAAUGUCCAUUAAGACCUUUUUCUAAAGAAAAACUCUCCUAUGAAAGUUUGAAGAUUGCAUGCCAUUUGCAUCUGAUAGAGAAUGUGGCAUUCCAUACGCUGCUAACAUUUGGUCCCCAGUCUCAGUAGCUAUUCUAUCUAAUUGUGUCAUUUCUACAUUUAACAGCUCUGAACCAUGCCGCCCCUUGGGUCCUCACCAAUGCCCCCCAAAUCACUUGAAAUGUCUAGAAAGACCUGGGAACAUUAGAAAAUGUCAAUUGUUAGAAUAAUUUCUGCCUCUUGCAUCAAGAGAAAAUACUAUGGAUUUAAUAGUUCAUUUUUAAAAUCUGUUUUUAUCCGCCAGUAACUGUCUAUUAGGAACAUUUCAGUUAUAAUUGGAAUAAAUUGUUGCCCAGUAACAAGCAACUUUCCAUAGAAUCAGUGACUAGAAAUAGCUACAAAGAGCUAAAUACAAGUCAAACCACAGUAAGGGCAUUUCUUAAUUUUUUUUUUUUUAAAGAUUCACUUCUUUGUAAUUUUACCCUUCUACCUAAAUUAUUAAAUUUGUUACCCACGGUGUCUAGUCUAUGAAAAUGUCUAAUUGACCAAAGUCCCAUAUAUAAAGGAAAAAGGCCAGUAGACUUCUGAAAAACAUUUCUUUCUGAUUCAAAAUAAUAAUGAGAGAGAAGAUAAGCACAACCUCUCAGACUAUGAGUGUUAACAAGAUUCUGGGUAGCAAUACCAUUAUAUGUGAAGAACUGCUAUCAUCUCUUGCAGAACGUAAUGUAAAAUUAUGGGUUUCACUGUAGGACUCUGUCAUUUGAACUAGUAAUCAGUCCAAAUUCUAUAGAUGGCUGCAGUUAAAAUGAUGCUUCCCCCCAUUAAUAAAAUAUUGAAUAACACUGAAAUUACUUUAGAUUUUACCCUAUCCAUUUUUUCAAUAGAAAAAGAACCAGUAAUAACCCCACAUCCCAAUACCUAAGCAUGCAUAAUAUCAGAAUGGCUUUUCUUCUUCCCUUGCUGAAGUGCUAUGACAUUACAAUUUCAAGAGCAAAAUUCUUUAACAGUAGUUCUACACUUGCCAUUCAGCUCUUGUGGCGUUUGGAAUAGUUUUCACCUUAUAAUUGCAUAGAUAGUGAAGUAGAAAAUACCUCAUCGAGAGAAUGAGAAUUGUUAUUUUACACAUAGACAUACAAACAGACAAAAUUAUAUAUGAUGCUAGAAUGGAAGCACAAAGGCAAUGUAAAAAUAUACAUAAUGCUUUUUGAAAUUGUGUCAUUUGCUCAAUUCAUUGUAACUGUUUACUAAGUAUCGGCUAUGUUGAGAUCUGUGGGAAAUUGAAAAGUGAAAAAGCCAUAUCUUGGUCACCUAGGAACUUAAAAUGUAGUUGAAAUUGUAACCGAUACACUAAAAAGUGUAAUUUGAUUAAUCAGCCUGUGGCAAACUUAGCAUAGUGUGAAGCUCUCAGAAUCAAAAAAAAAAAAAAAAAAAAAA